CCUACGGGUGAUAGCAGUGGGGGAUAUUGGACAAUGGGGGGAACCCUGAUCCAGCGACGCCGCGUGAGUGAAGAAGUAUUUCGGUAUGUAAAGCUCUGUCAGCAGGGAAGAAAGAAAUGACGGUACCUGACCAAGAAGCACCGGCUAACUACGUGACAGCAGCCGCGGUAAUACGUAGGGGGCAAGCGUUAUCCGGAUUUACUGGGGGUAAAGGGAGCGUAGACGGUUUAGUAAGUCUGGAGUGAAAGCCCGGGGCCCAACCCCGGGAAUGCUUUGGAAACGGUGUAACUGGAGUGCAGGAGGGGCAGGCGGAAUUCCUGGUGUAGCGGUGAAAUGCGUAGAUAUCAGGAGGAACACCGGCGGCGAAGGCGGCCUGCUGGACUGAAACUGACGUUGAGGCUCGAAAGCGUGGGGAGCAAACAGGAUUAGAUACCCCAGUAGUC
Molecule: ribosomal RNA, 443 nt
Filed under: uncultured bacterium
Lineage: Bacteria
Description: partial 16S ribosomal RNA
Rfam family: Bacterial small subunit ribosomal RNA
Source: RNAcentral